GGGANUAAGACAUGCUAGUCGAGCGUNNCCAAGCUAUGGAAGAGACGCGGCACACAGNUCAGUAACACGUGGCUAACCUGCCCUUGGGACAAGGACAANUCCGGGAAACUGGGGCUAAUCCNNGAUAAGUGAGAACUCCUGGAAUGGAUUCUCGCUCAAAGGACGUUUAGACCAUGCUUCUAGGCGUCGCCCAAGGAGGGGGCCGCGACCGAUCAGGUUGUUGGUGAGGUAACGGCUCACCAAGCCUUUAACCGGUACGGGCCGUGAGAGCGGAAGCCCGGAGAUGGGCACUGAGACAAGGGCCCAGGCCCUACGGGGCGCAGCAGUCGCGAAAACUCCGCAAUACACGAAAGUGUGACGGGGCUAUCCCGAGUGCCAUCCGCUGAGGAUGGCUUUUCCCCAGUGUAUAAAGCUGGGGGAAUAAGGAGAGGGCAAGCCUGGUGUCAGCCGCCGCGGUAAUACCAGCUCUCCGAGUGGUGGGGAUGUUUAUUGGGCCUAAAGCAUUCGUAGCCUGCUUGGCAAGUCCUCCGUUAAAUCCAACGAUUCAAUCGUUGGGCUGCGGGGGAUACUGUCCAGCUAGGGGGCGGGAGAGGCCGACGGUAUCCCCGGGGUAGGGGUGAAAUCCUAUAAUCCCGGGAGGACCACCAGUGGCGAAGGCUGUCGGCUAGAACGCGCUCGACGGUGAGGGAUGAAAGCUGGGGGAGCGAACCGGAUUAGAUACCCGGGUAGUCCCAGCUGUAAACGAUGCAGGCUAGGUGUUGGCGCGGCUACGUGCCGCUCCAGUGCCGCAGGGAAGCCGUUAAGCCUGCCGCCUGGGAAGUACGGCCGCAAGGCUGAAACUUAA
Molecule: ribosomal RNA, 844 nt
Filed under: uncultured archaeon
Lineage: Archaea
Description: bacterial SSU rRNA
Rfam family: Archaeal small subunit ribosomal RNA
Source: RNAcentral